Molecule: ribosomal RNA, 468 nt
Filed under: uncultured bacterium
Lineage: Bacteria
Description: partial 16S ribosomal RNA
Rfam family: Bacterial small subunit ribosomal RNA
Source: RNAcentral
GACGAACGCUGGCGGCGUGCUUAACACAUGCAAGUCGAACGGAAAGGCCCUGCUUUUGUGGGGUGCUCGAGUGGCGAACGGGUGAGUAACACGUGAGUAACCUGCCCUUGACUUUGGGAUAACUUCAGGAAACUGGGGCUAAUACCGGAUAGGAGCUCCUGCUGCAUGGUGGGGGUUGGAAAGUUUCGGCGGUUGGGGAUGGACUCGCGGCUUAUCAGCUUGUUGGUGGGGUAGUGGCUUACCAAGGCUUUGACGGGUAGCCGGCCUGAGAGGGUGACCGGCGACAUUGGGACUGAGAGACGGCCCAGACUCCUACGGGAGGCAGCAGUGGGGAAUAUGGCACAAUGGGCGGAAGCCUGAUGCAGAAACGCCGCGUGCGGGAUGACGGCCUUCGGGUUGUAAACCGCUUUCGCCUGUGACGAAGCGUGAGUGACGGUAAUGGGUAAAGAAGCACCGGCUAACUACGUG